GUAAUUGUGUAUGAUAGUGGGAAUCUCUUUAAGAGAAAAAAAAAACAAAGAGUAUUCUGGGAAAACUGAAGUGUUUGGCUUGGUAGUGUCGUCCAUAUUUAGUGCUGCGCCAUCGCCUUACAACAGAAGUGUUGAUUCCGUCGACUUGAAAUCAACUUACGAAUCAACAUUAAAACAAAUUUGCUUGACAGCUACUGUGCAUGUUGAUAUUUAUGUUGAUCAUUGUGUCAUUUUGUUCAGAGUUUAGUUUUAUUUUUUUUAAGUUUAUUUUUUUUUUAUUCUUUGGACAAGAGGUUUACACUUUGUUUGUCAUUUCACAUCGCGCUCAGGAAGCUAGUUAGUAUUGUCGCUUCGUGUCAAACAUUAUAUUACCACUAAGCCAGUGUUUCCCAAACUUGGUUUCGAAGAACCCAAGUGUUCUUUGAGGCCCGACUUUGUGUUCCAAAAACUACUGGAAUAAAUAGCUAAUAAGCUUUCAAGUGAAUAUUUCUCGAGUUGCCUGAAGAAGUCGAACAAUGAUGUACUGGUUGAUGCUUAUAGCUGCCUUAGAGUUUGCAAUAGUUGGGACAGCGUUAGCAGACGACGGUGCAUGGAGCGUUCCUACUUGGAUUCCCGUAGCAGCUCUGUUAGUUCUUUAGGUUGCUGCAUUGGCGCUUUGCGCAUCAAAUAAAAGUGAAAAAAAGAAGAAAGAAUACGAUGGUGCGCACGAUGAGAAAGACAACAUAGAGAAAAGACAAAAAUAGUAACAGACAAUGUUUGCUAGCGUUAGUCUAAUUACAUUCCUCAUUGCUCACUUUUAAUUAGUGUCUAUUUUGUUGGUAAAAGACAUUCUGAAUUUCUUUGUUUUAAUUUUUCAACUAGAUGAUUUUUUUUUGUAGGUAUUUUUGUUUAAUUUGUGUUUGUUAAGGCUGUGUUUACACUGGGAGGUCAAUAGGUUUAGUAGCAAGGAUUAAAAGAGUGAGUGUUUACAGGUACUGAUAUUUUUUGCGGAAGUGUGAAUGUUCCUUUAUGAUGUUUGAAGACGGUUUUAAACUCUGUCAUUUCAUUUUAAAAGUUGUUUUUCAGUUUUAGACACUUUAUACUUUUAAGUUCUUUGCGCUAAAAAAAAAUUAUAAACAUUUUAGUUUGUUAUAUGGAAAUAUCAAAUUAAAAGUUUUAAAAUUUUAAAUUGUUAAACUGUUUUCUUUAAUGCUAUACUUAUUAUUGGUUUUAUGUUUCUCAAAAGGCCUGAACAUAUUUACUCUAUAAAUCAGGAUCAAUCUAGUAUUUAGUUUUCAUCGGAUGAGCCUUAUAUCAUUAAAUCAUCCUGCUCUGGUAGCUGCUUGUCAAUAGUUUAGCCGUACAAUUAGCCUCACCAAGACUGAAAUCCUGGCACAAGAUGUAGCAGAAAUACUAGUGAUACAUAUUGGAAAUCACACACUUACAGUGGUUCAGGAUUUCACAUAUUUGGGUACAACAAUAGCCAGCAACCUAGAUUUAGACACUGAGCUGACAAAAAGAAUAGGAAAGGUUUCUGCAGCAAUGUCAAAACUCUCCAAGCGAGUCUGGGAAAAUAACAAAUUGACUACGGCAAACAAACUUCUAGUCUAUUGCCUGUGUUGUGAGCACACUUCUUUAUGGCAGUGAGAGCUGGGCAAAUUGCAUGCAUCAAGAACAAAGAAUAAAUAAUUUUCACCUACGCUGCCUGCGAUGCAUAAUGUGCAUCUCCUGGAGGGAUCAUGUCACCAACUAGGAAGUUUUGAAACUGGCCAAUAUGCACAGUAUAUAUGCUCUUCUUCAACAUAGAAGACAACGCUGGCUCAGUCGUGUCACUCGCAUGCCAGAUGGAAGAAUCCCCAAAGACAUCCUAUACGCUGAGCUUGCAGAGGGAGUCAGACCCAAGGGCCGCCCAAGACUAACCUACAGAGAUGUCUGUAAGCGAGACAUGAAAGCCACGAGCAUCGACCAAAGUAUGUGGGAGGAGAUAGCCCAAGACCUGACAGCAUGGAAACUUUGCCGAAGCUGCGUCAGCCAAGAGAAAGAAUAAGAAAGCUGCCCUGUCAGCUAGCCCUAAGACAGAUACAUAUACAUGCACGAACUUUAGCAAACUCUACAGCUCCAGAAUUGGUUUGAUCAGUCACACCAGAUUCUGCCCCAUCUCAAGACGUAAUCGAGGACUAUGACUCAUCCGGGCGCAUCUAUUGCCUUCCGAGACAGGAGCCAUUUAUAAAUCAUCCUGUACACAAACUAUCAAAUUCUGUCAAUUUCUUCACUAUGAUCGAAGAAUAUGGAACUUUAUUUUUAAACAGCAAGUAAGCUUUUAAAGGAGCGGUGGCUGAGCGGUAAAGCGGUUUGAUUCCGAAACGGGGUCCGGUGAAGACUGUGAUUUUGAAUUUCAAGAUCCUUGGGGCCUCUGAGUCCACCCAGCUUAAAUGAGUAUUUGAUAUUAGUUGGGAAAAAGUAAAGUUGUUUGGUCGUUGUGCUGGCCACAUGACACCAAUUGCAUGACCUUUACAUCACAAGGUCUGAAAGGGGAACUUUUACGUAUAGGAAGCAGAAUGACCUAAAGACGAUCCCAUUUAAAUAGAUUAAUGAUGCAUCCACUGCAACGUGACUAAUGUAACAACAAAAAAAAAAAACAAACAAAAAAAAAAGAAAAAUUACUUUCUCUUCGUUCUCUCGCCCUCUCCUCAUCAAUUAUCAACUUUGAGCAUACUCGUAUAUCUUCUUUGCCCCCUCCCUUUAAAGUAGGCUUGUUUAAGAAAACCGCUAGCGUUGACUGACCAGCGAGCCUGGAAAUAAAAAUCCAUAAUUACCUCAGGCCCAUCCUUGGAGACCUGCCUUCCUAAAUGUACUACUUUUAGUUGUCUUGCAUGUAAAGUGUAAGAGCUAGAUACUUGUGUGCAUUAAUUCUUUGUUUUAUUUUGAGAAACUUCUGGUGUUUUUUACUUCCAAGUUGCCUGAAGAAAUCGAACAAUGGAGCGGUGCUUGAUGCUUAGAGCUACCUUAGUGUUUGCAAUACUUGGGACGGCGUUAGCAGACGACGGUGCAUGGAGCUUCCUUACUUGGAUUCCCAUAGCAGCUGGAGCGACCAUUGUAGUUUUUUUAAUGGCAUUUAGCUCAUCAAGGAAUAGAAAAAAGGAAAGUGAAGAGAAAAAAGAAAAGGAAAGUGAAAAGAAAAAAGAAAAGGAAAGAGAAAAGAAAA
Molecule: long non-coding RNA, 3184 nt
Organism: Biomphalaria glabrata
Lineage: Eukaryota; Metazoa; Mollusca; Gastropoda; Planorbidae
Exons: 5
Source: RefSeq, a predicted model, not a curated record